CGUCACCAUGGCAACCCCUGGAGCGCCCUCCCCCGACGGGCUCUCAGAUGCACCGCCCCGCCCCCCAGGGCCUCAGGGACCCCGCGGGGAGCGGGGCGGGGCCAGAUUGGCGGAGCCGCGUAUAAAGGCCGGGCGCUGCCGCGGUCUCGCAGGGAGAGGAGAGCGGAGAGGCGAGAUGGCGAUUUUGCCGCGGCUGCUGCCGCUUCUGCUUCUCCUCCUCGCCGCCUCUUCGGCCGCCCUUCUGGCCACCGGCGCCCAUUCUUCCUGACCCGGGCCUCUGGCCCAUACCGUGUACUCCACGUUCAUGUUCGAGGCCACUUUGGCUCCGCUAGGUGGGCUUGCGAGUCCGCGCACCCGCACGCGGCGCCUGGCGCACCCGCUUCGGCGGACGGAGCUGGCCCGACUCCUCGCCUUGGUGUUCCCCUCCCGCAGCGGGGGAUCGGGGGCACCGAGAACCGGAGCGCAGGGGACCCUCAGGCCUCCGGGGCCCCACACCGGCUCCGCACACGCCAGCGUAGCGCCCCCGAAACGCGCCUGGCCUCCAGCUCAGCGCAGAGCAGAGGGCGGCCUCCAACCCGGACUUGGACACUUGUAAACCUUGGAGCAGCAUCGCACGUCGUGUUCCACGAACGACUGUUGCUGACUCAUAGGGAGAGUUCCCAGGACUCCUGUCCAGGGCCAGCAAACCUCUCAGUGGGCUCCCCGCAGAGUCCAGGGCAGCCACGGACCAGGGGUCACAGGCUCUUGUGUGGUCACCCACCUAGGGACCUUAAAACCAAGGUCCCCUUGGACUCCAGGCCGGGCAAAGGUCAGUCACUAAUGCACACUGGGAUGCCCCUGGCCCCCGCUGAGCCUGGCGGCCCUCCAGCUCAUCUGACUGGGCUUGAGUGUCCUCCCGUGGCCGGAAAAGCCCCAUCCCACAGUCUGCCAUUCCGCAACAUGUGCGCAGUUGCAUGUUCUCCAUCCAGGGUCCCCACCUUGGAUGCCCUGCUGAGUAGGAGACUGCCACUCACCAGCACCAAGAGGCCUUUGGGUGCCCCUCAACUUGGGGAACCAAAGUCAAGGUUUCUGGCUCAGUUUCCCCCCAGGACAAGGGGCCACCUUCACAUGCAGCUGAGAGCGCCCUGCGGGCCCCUGCCCGCUGCCCACCAAGCUGCCUGCAGUUGA
Molecule: long non-coding RNA, 1167 nt
Filed under: Bos indicus x Bos taurus (hybrid cattle)
Lineage: Eukaryota; Metazoa; Chordata; Mammalia; Artiodactyla; Bovidae
Description: lncRNA (ENSBIXG00005008444.1)
Source: RNAcentral